CAAUAGCGUAUAUUUAAGUUGUUGCAGUUAAAAAGCUCGUAGUUGGAUUUCGGGUGGGACGCAGCGGUCUCGCAUUGCGUUUGUACUGCUGCAGCCCUCCUUCUUGCCGGGGGCGGCCUCUCGGACUUCACUGUCUGGGGGUCAGAAUCGGCGAUGUUACUUUGAGUAAAUUAGAGUGUUCAAAGCAAGCUUACGCUCUGAAUAUAAUAGCAUGGGAUAACACGACAGGACUCUGGCCUAUCGUGUUGGUCUAUAGGACCAGAGUAAUGAUUAAGAGGGACAGUCGGGGGCAUUCGUAUUCCGUUGUCAGAGGUGAAAUUCUUAGAUUCGUUGAGGACCAACCACUGCGAAAGCAUUUGUCAAGGAUGUCUCCAUUAA
This 378-nucleotide ribosomal RNA is filed under the name uncultured eukaryote. Its description in RNAcentral is "partial 18S ribosomal RNA". It matches the Rfam family "Eukaryotic small subunit ribosomal RNA", at positions 592 to 976 of the family's 1831-position model. The record is from RNAcentral.